Molecule: non-coding RNA, 325 nt
Organism: Misgurnus anguillicaudatus (oriental weatherfish)
Lineage: Eukaryota; Metazoa; Chordata; Actinopteri; Cypriniformes; Cobitidae
Source: RefSeq, a predicted model, not a curated record
GUCCAAGAACUCUUAAUCCCUCCAAUAACACUCCAACAUCUGCUGGGCUGUCUUCGAUGUCUGAACCUACAAGCACUCCCAUCACCAUCUUCUGGAACGCCUCCUGGGUACUGGGUGCAUCUGUAUCCUGCAGACAGAAGUAUUACACUGACUACUUCCAGUGUUUUGGAUGUCUCCGUUUGUGGAUGGUCACUCACUGAAGUAGAAAUGGCAUACUGAAGGAUCACCUUUUGUAACUUUUAGCCAGACUGGAGAAGUCUUUGUGGUAUGACUGUGGAAAACAAAUAAAAUUUAGUUAAUUAUUUUUUUUAAAUCAAUUGUAAGU